Molecule: long non-coding RNA, 431 nt
Filed under: Malus domestica (apple)
Lineage: Eukaryota; Viridiplantae; Streptophyta; Magnoliopsida; Rosales; Rosaceae
Description: long non-coding RNA (MDOM_LNC014602)
Source: RNAcentral
AGGAUUGUGUGUUAUUAUCCUAUACAAAUUAGGCCUUUAAAUCCUUUUCCUUUGCUACAUAGGGGCUGCGAAUUUCAGCCUAUAAAUAUCAUCCUUUGCUGCACCAUUUAGGCACCACCCUCUACCAUAUUUUCUCUACACCAUUCACCCAAACAUCCCUCUUGUGCCGUGAGUUUGCAAAGGAGAAGGAAGGAGACUCUUGGAGCCGUGCAUGCCAUUCAAGGAGCUUGGAUUGUUGGAGCGUUUCUAGCGUUUCUAGGUGUUUUCUAUCUUUAUGUCAAUGUUUAAAUUUAUUUAUCUUUGUUUAUUUGCGAACAUGAGGAACUAAUUUCUUUAUAGUUAGAGGGGAAUUCAAAGCCAUGAUCAUAUGUUUUAUAUGACUUGAUUUCCUCUAGUUAUGAUUUCAUAAAUCGUGAAUGUGGUUUACUUAU